Molecule: ribosomal RNA, 492 nt
Filed under: uncultured bacterium
Lineage: Bacteria
Description: partial 16S ribosomal RNA
Rfam family: Bacterial small subunit ribosomal RNA
Source: RNAcentral
AGUGAACGCUGGCGGUAGGCCUAACACAUGCAAGUCGAACGGCAGCACAGUAAGAGCUUGCUCUUACGGGUGGCGAGUGGCGGACGGGUGAGGAAUACAUCGGAAUCUACUUUUUCGUGGGGGAUAACGUAGGGAAACUUACGCUAAUACCGCAUACGACCUACGGGUGAAAGCAGGGGAUCUUCGGACCUUGCGCGAUUGAAUGAGCCGAUGUCGGAUUAGCUAGUUGGCGGGGUAAAGGCCCACCAAGGCGACGAUCCGUAGCUGGUCUGAGAGGAUGAUCAGCCCAACUGGAACUGAGACACGGUCCAGACUCCUACGGGAGGCAGCAGUGGGGAAUAUUGGACAAUGGGCGCAAGCCUGAUCCAGCCAUACCGCGUGGGUGAAGAAGGCCUUCGGGUUGUAAAGCCCUUUUGUUGGGAAAGAAAAGCAGCAGGUUAAUACCCCGCUGUUCUGACGGUACCCAAAGAAUAAGCACCGGCUAACUUAGUG